Molecule: transfer RNA, 73 nt
Filed under: Armatimonadota bacterium
Lineage: Bacteria; Bacillati; Armatimonadota
Description: tRNA-Lys
Rfam family: tRNA
About the family: Transfer RNA (tRNA) molecules are approximately 80 nucleotides in length.
Source: RNAcentral
GGACCGUUAGCUCAGUUGGCAGAGCAGCUGACUCUUAAUCAGCGGGUCGGAGGUUCGAGUCCUCCACGGUCCA